Molecule: small nuclear RNA, 115 nt
Organism: Pangasianodon hypophthalmus (striped catfish)
Lineage: Eukaryota; Metazoa; Chordata; Actinopteri; Siluriformes; Pangasiidae
Product: U5 spliceosomal RNA
Exons: 1
Source: RefSeq, a predicted model, not a curated record
UAGCUCAGUUUUCUCUUCAUUCACACAUGAAUCUUUCACCUUUUACUAAAGAUUUCUGUGGAGAGGAACAGUGAUGAGUUCUACUUAUGUUUGUGGGCUUGGCUGUUGCAAAGCU